CGGAACGUAGCGCAGUCCGGUAGCGCACUUGAAUGGGGUUCAAGGGGUCGCGGGUUCAAAUCCCGCCGUUCCGACCA
This 77-nucleotide transfer RNA is filed under the name Stygiobacter sp. GWC2_38_9. RNAcentral's name for it is "Ignavibacteria bacterium GWC2_38_9 tRNA-Pro". It matches the Rfam family "tRNA". Rfam says of the family: Transfer RNA (tRNA) molecules are approximately 80 nucleotides in length. Their secondary structure includes four short double-helical elements and three loops (D, anti-codon, and T loops). Further hydrogen bonds mediate the characteristic L-shaped molecular structure. tRNAs have two regions of fundamental functional importance: the anti-codon, which is responsible for specific mRNA codon recognition, and the 3' end, to which the tRNAs corresponding amino acid is attached (by aminoacyl-tRNA synthetases). tRNAs cope with the degeneracy of the genetic code in two manners: having more than one tRNA (with a specific anti-codon) for a particular amino acid; and 'wobble' base-pairing, i.e. permitting non-standard base-pairing at the 3rd anti-codon position. The record is from RNAcentral. Lineage: Bacteria; Pseudomonadati; Ignavibacteriota; Ignavibacteria; Ignavibacteriales; Melioribacteraceae. RNAcentral also lists the same sequence under 7 other names.